Molecule: small RNA, 201 nt
Filed under: Marmota monax (woodchuck)
Lineage: Eukaryota; Metazoa; Chordata; Mammalia; Rodentia; Sciuridae
Source: RNAcentral
UAGUUGCAAAAUCACUCUGUUCCAGGGCAAGAUUUUCCUCUUUCUUCUUUUCCCAACUUUUUUUCUAUCUUUCUUUCUGCCAGCUGCACUCAUAUCUAAACUAAGCUAAUUAAGCUUUCACCAAGUUACUUUGCUUCUAACACUCUGUAAUAUUUGAGAUCUCCCCAUCUCCCCAAUAAGGUAUUCAUCACAGAAGCUCAC